AAUCAACGCUGGCGGCGUGCCUCAGACAUGCAAGUCGAACGAUUAAAGCUCUCUUCGGAGAGUGUAUAGAGUGGCGCACGGGUGAGUAACACGUAAGUAAUCUGCCUUUGAGUGGGGAAUAACCCGGGGAACCCGAGCUAAUACCGCAUAAUGCAGCGGCACCGCAAGGUGACAGUUGUUAAAGCGAGUAAUCGCGCUUAAAGAGGAGCUUGCGGCAGAUUAGCUAGUUGGUAAGGUAACGGCUUACCAAGGCUACGAUCUGUAUCCGGUCUAAGAGGACGGUCGGACACACUGACACUGAAUAACGGGUCAGACUCCUACGGGAGGCAGCAGUCGGGAA
RNAcentral lists this ribosomal RNA (340 nucleotides) under uncultured bacterium. Its description in RNAcentral is "bacterial SSU rRNA". It matches the Rfam family "Bacterial small subunit ribosomal RNA", at positions 32 to 361 of the family's 1533-position model. The record is from RNAcentral.